This is a non-coding RNA of Acanthosepion pharaonis, 115 nucleotides long. NCBI's taxonomy places the organism in Eukaryota, Metazoa, Mollusca, Cephalopoda, Sepiida, Sepiidae. The record is from the annotation of a GenBank genome assembly.
UUACGACCACAUCAUGUUGAAACACCAGUCCCCGUACGACCUACAAAAGUUAAGCAACAUCGAGCCUGAUUAGUACCUAGACGGGUGACCGCUUGGGAAUUGCAGGUGCUGUAAG